Molecule: ribosomal RNA, 361 nt
Filed under: Propionibacteriaceae bacterium
Lineage: Bacteria; Bacillati; Actinomycetota; Actinomycetes; Propionibacteriales; Propionibacteriaceae
Description: bacterial SSU rRNA
Rfam family: Bacterial small subunit ribosomal RNA
Source: RNAcentral
UCAACGGAGAGUUUGAUCCUGGCUCAGGACGAACGCUGGCGGCGUGCUUAACACAUGCAAGUCGAACGGUAAGGCUCUUCGGAGUACACGAGUGGCGAACGGGUGCGUAACACGUGACCAACCUACCCUUAACAUCGGGAUAACAUUUGGAAACAGAUGCUAAUACCGAAUACGAACUUGGAAGGCAUCUUCCGAGUUGGAAAGCUCCGGCGGUUAGGGAUGGGGUCGCGGCCUAUCAGCUUGUUGGUGAGGUAAUGGCUCACCAAGGCGACGACGGGUAGCCGGCCUGAGAGGGCGACCGGCCACACUGGGACUGAGAUACGGCCCAGACUCCUACGGGAGGCAGCAGUGGGGAAUAUUG